RNAcentral lists this ribosomal RNA (428 nucleotides) under uncultured bacterium. RNAcentral's name for it is "bacterial SSU rRNA". It matches the Rfam family "Bacterial small subunit ribosomal RNA", at positions 335 to 755 of the family's 1533-position model. The record is from RNAcentral.
ACUCCUACGGGAGGCAGCAGUGGGGAAUAUUGCACAAUGGGCGCAAGCCUGAUGCAGCCAUGCCGCGUGUGUGAAGAAGGCCUUCGGGUUGUAAAGCACUUUCAGUCGUGAGGAAGGUAGUGUAGUUAAUAGCUGCAUUAUUUGACGUUAGCGACAGAAGAAGCACCGGCUAACUCCGUGCCAGCAGCCGCGGUAAUACGGAGGGUGCGAGCGUUAAUCGGAAUUACUGGGCGUAAAGCGCAUGCAGGUGGUUUGUUAAGUCAGAUGUGAAAGCCCGGGGCUCAACCUCGGAAUAGCAUUUGAAACUGGCAGACUAGAGUACUGUAGAGGGGGGUAGAAUUUCAGGUGUAGCGGUGAAAUGCGUAGAGAUCUGAAGGAAUACCGGUGGCGAAGGCGGCCCCCUGGACAGAUACUGACACUCAGAUGCG